Oncorhynchus keta (chum salmon) is the source of this 3080-nucleotide long non-coding RNA. RefSeq lists it as uncharacterized. The transcript is spliced from 3 exons. NCBI's taxonomy places the organism in Eukaryota, Metazoa, Chordata, Actinopteri, Salmoniformes, Salmonidae. The record is from RefSeq and is a predicted model, not a curated record.
UGAAAGUGAUUACUAUUUAGUGUGGCAUACUUCACAUUUCACUGGCCUGAGACUUUCAUCGACAACCCUUGUUGGAGUACUGGUGCACUAGUGAUUUCUAAGCAAAUAAUAAUCCCAGAUACUGGACAACUGCUGAGCACUCUAGUACAAAAUGGCUGCUAAUCACCAAGUUGGCUGCUAUACACAUUGGAGGUGGAUGGGGUGAGUGACCCACACAAUGUAAAUCAGUGGUUCCCAACCAGGGGUACUUGGCCUAUGCACAGAGGGUACUUGAGAAGACUCAUGAGACCAUAGGCCUACUGGUAGAAUGGACUUGAGGGCGUACUUCAGGGGUACACCGGGCAGAGCAGAAUUCAGUUGGUGGUACAGCAACAGAAAAAGGAUAGGAACCACUGCUGUAAAGUACUUGUAGCGGUGAAAAAGUUGAAGACAUUUAAAUAGAAUCCCUUACUAUGACAAUGACUAGAACCUGAACCACCUCUUCAGACAAUCCCCUCUUUCCCCAACACAGUUUUAUUGAGCUAAGGAUCCAUACCACUAUUAGCUGGCGAGCUAAUUGUCAACGCAGAGAGAUCCCCUAGGCAACACCCGGAGGUCCCAGUGCUGUGUUGUACAUGUCGGUUCUGCUGUGUCAUUUGGUUUCCCCUCAAGGCAGAAGCGUAGUGUGAGGCAGCACUUACAUUAUUCAGAGCUAACAUGAGAUGGGUGUGUGCGUACUUGUGCGUGUGUGUGAGGGAGAGCAGGUGCGGAGGAGACCUGAGUAGGCGCAUCACAGCAUCAGAUGAAAGAAGGGAAGAGAAACCUGUCCUGGCAAGAGGUAAUAAAGUAAUUGAAGGCAUUAUAUGCCACAUGUUCGCAUGCUUGGAUAGAAGUGAACUUGUCAACUCAUCUGAUAUGGGUAGGUUGUUAUCAACUCAUCUGAUAUGGGUAGGUUGUUAUCAACUCAUCUGAUAUGGGUAGGGUUGUUGUCAACUCAUCUGAUAUGGGUAGGUUGUUAUCAACUCAUCUGAUAUGGGUAGGUUGUUAUCAACUCAUCUGAUAAGGGUAGGUUGUUAUCAACUCAUCUGAUAUGGGUAGGUUGUUAUCAACUCAUCUGAUAUGGGUAGGGUUGUUGUCAACUCAUCUGAUAUGGGUAGGGUUGUUGUCAACUCAUCUGAUAUGGGUAGGGUUGUUGUCAACUCAUCUGAUAUGGGUAGGGUUGUUGUCAACUCAUCUGAUAUGGGUAGGGUUGUUGUCAACUCAUCUGAUAUGGGUAGGGUUGUUGUCAACUCAUCUGAUAUGGGUAGGGUUGUUGUCAACUCAUCUGAUAUGGGUAGGGUUGUUGUCAACUCAUCUGAUAAGGGUAGGUUGUUAUCAACUCAUCUGAUAUGGGUAGGUUGUCAUCAACUCAUCUGAUAUGGGUAGGUUGUUAUCAACUCAUCUGAUAUGGGUAGGUUGUUAUCAACUCAUCUGAUAUGGGUAGGUUGUUAUCAACUCAUCUGAUAUGGGUAGGUUGUUGUCAACUCAUCUGAUAAGGGUAGGUUGUUAUCAACUCUUCUGAUAAGGGUAGGUUGUUAUCAACUCAUCUGAUAUGGGUAGGUUGUUAUCAACUCAUCUGAUAUGGGUAGGUUGUUAUCAACUCAUCUGAUAUGGGUAGGUUGUUAUCAACUCAUCUGAUAUGGGUAGGUUGUUAUCAACUCAUCUGAUAUGGGUAGGUUGUUGUCAACUCAUCUGAUAAGGGUAGGUUGUUAUCAACUCUUCUGAUAAGGGUAGGUUGUUAUCAACUCAUCUGAUAAGGGUAGGGUUGUUGUCAACUCAUCUGAUAUGGGUAGGUUGUUGUCAACUCAUCUGAUAAGGGUAGGUUGUUAUCAACUCAUCUGAUAUGGGUAGGGUUGUUGUCAACUCAUCUGAUAUGGUAGAGUUGUUAUCAACUCAUCUGAUAUGGGUAGGGUUGUUGUCAACUCAUCUGAUAUGGGUAGGGUUGUUGUCAACUCAUCUGAUAUGGGUAGGGUUGUUGUCAACUCAACUGAUAAGGGUAGGUGGUUGUCAACUCAUCUGAUAAGGGUAGGGUUGUUAUCAACUCAUCUGAAAAGGGUAGGGUUGUUAUCAACUCAUCUGAUAAGGGUAGGGUUGUUGUCAACUCAUCUGAUAUGGUAGGGUUGUUAUCAACUCAUCUGAUAAGGGUAGGGUUGUUGUCAACUCAUCUGAUAUGGGUAGGGUUGUUGUCAACUCAUCUGAUAUGGGUAGGGUUGUUGUCAACUCAUCUGAUAUGGGUAGGGUUGUUGUCAACUCAUCUGAUAUGGGUAGGGUUGUUGUCAACUCAUCUGAUAUGGGUAGGUUGUCAUCAACUCAUCUGAUAUGGGUAGGGUUGUUGUCAACUCAACUGAUAAGGGUAGGUGGUUGUCAACUCAUCUGAAAAGGGUAGGGUUGACAACCUGGUACAAGAGCUGCUGAAAGACAGUACACUCAGAUUAUCACACACGCACGCACACACACACACACACGCCAACCUGAAGAUAAGUAAUUUAGCAGUAACUUCCCUGUAAAUGUCUAUUAAUUUAUCCAGAUUUUUUAUGUUUCGAAGUUGACCACAUUCAUGUAUAGUCAUCCUCUUCAGGGAUGGGUAUGUUACUUUCUGAAUGUAAUCCGUCACCUGUCCAAAAUUGUCAUCGGUAAUGUAACUUUUGGACUCCCCAAACUCAGUAACGUAAUGAUCUGAUCACUUUCAGUUACUUUUUACUUCCCUCAUAAAAGGCAUUAGACGAAGACAAAAAGGAUCCAUCAAACGCAUUAGGUAUGUGUUAGGGCUUGCUCAGGUGGAACAAACUUAAAUGUGCACCUUUUUCUUUUUUCAAGAAAAAACAAAUUUGCAAACAUCCAUUCUGAAUUUAAAAGUAAUCCUAGAAGUAAUCAUCUACUUUCUCAAAAGUAUCUCUAAUCUGAUUACAAUAUUUUGCUGGUAUGGUAAUAUAUUACAGUUAGUUACAUGUAGCUGAUUACAUGUGCUGAUUACAUGUAGCUGAUUACAUGUAGCUGAUUACAUGUAUCUGAUUACAUCCCGGGGAAGGACUGCCCGUUCCAUGAUCUCGCCAUCACGGUUG